Molecule: long non-coding RNA, 2001 nt
Organism: Corvus hawaiiensis (hawaiian crow)
Lineage: Eukaryota; Metazoa; Chordata; Aves; Passeriformes; Corvidae
Exons: 3
Source: RefSeq, a predicted model, not a curated record
CAUGAUUACGUCUACCCUGUCUACUCUAUUAUGUGCAUGCGUCCUCCCUGAAAUGCAGGAAUGGGAAAGAAUUGAUCGCUGCAGACAGCGAGAUAGGGGCUGCUUGCAUUUGCCAUUUGAAAUCUUUACUGGAUUGGAAAGGCAGGAGGACACUCGCAGUUGGACUGCCGGAGCUUUUGCAUUGUAUUGACCAAAGGUUUUCCGAGUGAGGCACUUCAGAAGGGAAGGUUUCGUAUGGCCUGACCUGGAGCAGCCUCAUUUAAACUUCUGCAAUCUGCCAAGAUCACAGCUGGAGUUGGAGUUGCUGCAGGAUGCUUGUUGUUUCAAUUCCAGUCCUCCUUUGCAGCAGCACAGGUAAACACCUCUGCUACAGGAGGAAGUGAAGUGCUUGCGUAAGGACAUGGAAACUUGAGAGAUCAGAGCUGGGAUCUCUGAAGUGUAUACCAGGACUGAGCUUCCUGCAGUCAUAAAAUUAGACCGAUCACUGUCAUCCCCCUGUAACAGCAACAAGAGGAAAAUUUGAAGAAGUGUAAAUUUUUGUCGCUGUUCAAUUCAGUCAAUCAGUUCCAAAUCUCUGGGAAAGAAAUUCAUAAUACAACUUACAGUGUUUGUGUGACAUAAUUAAAAAACCUGUGCAUGUUAUAUUUGAAAAUAGCUGCUAUUAUAUGAAAUGUUAAACUGCUUCUUUUGGUUUGCUGGAUUUGAUAUCACUGCAUUAGACCGAGGGAAAAAUGGCAUGACCCCCUUCGAUUUAGGAUGACCCAUUUCACUCAUUAAGGCUGUACUUUGCUUGUACUUUGCGGUAAGCAUGUAGCUGGGGCUAUGCCUUCUGAAAGCAAACCAAACACUUCUAAAUCAGGAAAAUGGUGAGGCAGAGUGUUUAUGAUCCAUGUACUGACUAUCGGGGUUUUAGAAUAAAGAGUAAAUAUCCCUAUGAUACUGAAAUUCCUGUUAUGUAAAAAACCAAUAAUACUAUGUAAGGUCUGCUAAGUGCUUUUUACAUUUUUUAUGUGUGUUUCCUAUAAAAACAAUGAAUACUUUUAGGGGUGAUAGUGUUUUCCCUGUUACCCCUUAAUGUAGGUUAUGAGAAAAAAACCAUGAAGUGCCUUUUAUUAUACAGGAAAUGUACUUGAAGUGUAGAAUGUUUGGGAAUGAAUGCCUCCUUUACUGCUAUAAAUUGUUCAUGAUAUGUCUUUUCAUAUAUGCAUCAAACAUAGCACUUGCUGCAGAGAUGCAUGUGAUUUGUCUUCUCUCCUGAGAGAUGGUAAUUGGCUUCAGUUUACUUAGGCUACUGCAGUGCAAUUUAUUUUCUUAGCUUAGGCAAGCCUCAUGUUGCAGUAUGUUUUCUUCUAUGAGGGUGCAGUAUUUAAUUUGUAAAGUGGUGCAGAGUAUGUGUUACAUUACAAAGAUGAAGCACAUCCCUGCUCUGUGGUGUUUAGUGGAAACAGAUCACAGCACUUCACCAUCCCCCUUUACCUUAUCUUGUCUUAUUAUUAAAUUGUACGUGAUUUAAUCAUGAUCUUUUAGAAAACAUCCAUUGUAACUAGCUCAGUAAUUUGAACACGUGGCUAAUGAACUCUGCUUCCUAUUUGCUUUGUCUACUUAUAGUUAUUUCUGUUGUUUUGAGCUUCACUCACAUGGUGUUAUUUCUCUUUUCCAAGCCUUGUCUUUUUCUAGAUAGCCAAACAUUCUUCAUAAUGGCAAAAAAGUAGAAAAUAAUACAAACUUAUUUUAAGUGUAAGAUUUUGUUGUUAGUCCAGUAAUCUUUCCUGCUCGGAUUUCUUUAUGUUUUUUCCAUUUUAUCUAUCUAGAUGAAGAAAUAAAGAGAUGAACAUGAAAAUCACAACAAGUAGAACUUAAAGAGUUAAGCUCGGAAAUAUAAAAAUCUUCACACAAUUUUGACAUUUAAUGUAGCAAUAAUAAUAAUGUAUCGUGUAAGUUAUAUACUAGUGAUGAACCAUCUGGGCAAGGGCUGUCCUGAUUUUUUAAUUCCCAUCAUGA